Molecule: ribosomal RNA, 497 nt
Filed under: uncultured bacterium
Lineage: Bacteria
Description: partial 16S ribosomal RNA
Rfam family: Bacterial small subunit ribosomal RNA
Source: RNAcentral
GAUGAACGCUGGCGGCGUGCCUAAUACAUGCAAGUCGAGCGAACAGAUGAGGAGCUUGCUCCUCUGACGUUAGCGGCGGACGGGUGAGUAACACGUGGAUAACCUACCUAUAAGACUGGGAUAACUUCGGGAAACCGGAGCUAAUACCGGAUAAUAUAUUGAACCGCAUGGUUCAAUAGUGAAAGACGGUUUUGCUGUCACUUAUAGAUGGAUCCGCGCCGCAUUAGCUAGUUGGUAAGGUAACGGCUUACCAAGGCAACGAUGCGUAGCCGACCUGAGAGAGUGAUCGGCCACACUGGAACUGAGACACGGUCCAGACUCCUACGGGAGGCAGCAGUAGGGAAUCUUCCGCAAUGGGCGAAAGCCUGACGGAGCAACGCGGCGUGAGUGAUGAAGGUCUUCGGAUCGUAAAACUCUGUUAUUAGGGAAGAACAAAUGUGUAAGUAACUAUGCACGUCUUGACGGUACCUAAUCAGAAAGCCACGGCUAACUACGUG